RNAcentral lists this ribosomal RNA (87 nucleotides) under Clostridium butyricum. RNAcentral's name for it is "partial 16S ribosomal RNA". It matches the Rfam family "Bacterial small subunit ribosomal RNA", at positions 1 to 87 of the family's 1533-position model. Lineage: Bacteria; Bacillati; Bacillota; Clostridia; Eubacteriales; Clostridiaceae. The record is from RNAcentral. RNAcentral also lists the same sequence under 2 other names.
UUUAUUGAGAGUUUGAUCCUGGCUCAGGACGAACGCUGGCGGCGUGCUUAACACAUGCAAGUCGAGCGAUGAAGCUCCUUCGGGAGU